This 6632-nucleotide long non-coding RNA is filed under the name Nicotiana tabacum (common tobacco). RNAcentral's name for it is "long non-coding RNA (NTAB_LNC011627)". Lineage: Eukaryota; Viridiplantae; Streptophyta; Magnoliopsida; Solanales; Solanaceae. The record is from RNAcentral.
UGACAAUAUCUAAUAUCCGCACGGACCACUCAUGUGCCAACAAUAACAAUGACUCAUGACCAUACAGACACUCAAGUGCCAGUAGAACAACUCUCACACAGAAGGUAAGUAGACGAGAGUACAUGUAAAUGGUCUAUAACAUCAGGAUUCAUCUUAUUAAACCUAUAUGGGUGAUUAAAUCAUGUGUAUGCUUGUGCAAGUGUCCUAACAUAACUCAAGUCAACAAGUAAGAGUAGUAACAAUAAAUGGCACAUAAGAAACGAUCACCACAAAAUGUACUAUAUAAUAAAGACAGUAAACAACAAGAUCAACUACACAGAACUAAACAAAUAUUGCAACACGAAGAAGGACAAUUAAUAGUAUGCAAAGGAAACAAUGAUCAAAGACAUGUACAAAAGAAUGAGAAAAUGUCAAUAAGAGUCACUACUGAGGUACCACCUCGUUGUCUCAAAUAACGAAAUGUAUCACAAUCUUUUCUUAUAUCACUGCGGGAGCCUUUACAUUUAGUUUUGAAAAUUAUUUUUCCCAAAAUAGCAUUCCACGUUUUAUCCCACCUUAUCAAAUCGUAUGGCUUCUAGCAGUUCCCCUACUAGUCAAGCGUAUCAAGCCCACCUUAUCUCACCCCAUGCGUUUCAACACCCAGACUUUAUACCACCGCAUGCGUAUCAAUAUCACAACGUAUCACAAUCGGACGUCAAGUGCCCACAAUCACAAUUUGCUAGAGAAACCAAGCAAUAAUAGAAUUUCACAAUAAGGAGCCCACAACUCAACCUCAAUGUACAACAACAACAACUACAACAAUAAUACGAGAAUAUAGCAAGUAAAUAAUCACAAGACCUUCAUAAAUUAAAGAAACGAAAGAACGAGCUCACAAAGAAAGGCACAAUAGGGGAUAAUGGUCUCCACAAGAAUAGCUCAACUAUGGAGAGAUAAUGUGUAUCAAUUAUUCCACAAUAGUACAAUUUGACGACAAUAGAGAUAACAUGAAUAAUUAACUCCAAAUAAGAAUACGUCAAUAAUGAAAUGAAUAACAAACUUCAUUCUCUCAUUACAGAAAGGAUAGCAUGAUAAUAAAAGAGGCAACAACUUCAAUUAAGGCACAUAAGAGUCUAAUCGGUAAUAAGGGUAGAACAUGAAGCAAUUAAUUUUAAAUAAGACACGUAAGGGUGAAUUUAGUAGGGUAAUUUAACAUGACAAAACAACUUUAUAUCUAAUGAACAUAAGAACCUAAGAGCCCUAAAUGGUCAAAUUUCCACAAAUAAGCUCGAGCGCGUACUCGUCACCUCGCGUACGUAGCCUUCACAUGAAACAAUUAGCAUAAAUAACUGAAAUCCUAAUGGGUAGUUCCCUCACACAAAGUUAGGCAAGAUACUUACCUCAAAUAAGCUAGACCGAUACUCUAAAAUGACCUUUUUGAGUGAAACAACCUUCGGAUGACCAAAAUCUAGCAAAAAUAACUUCAAAUCAUAAAUAAAACUCAUAGAAAACAAUUCCUGAUAAUAAAGAUUUGAUCUUUAAUUAAAACUAAAAAGUCAACCCCCAAGACCGCACCUCGAAAUCUCAUAAAAUUCAAAAAAAAAUGAACACUCAUUCCGAUACGAGUCCAACCAUACAAAAAUUAUCAAAUUCUGAUAUCGAAUCGCCCUACAAAUACUCAUUUUACAUUUUGAAUAAUUUUUACAAAGUUUCCCAUUUUCUUCUCUUCAAUUCAAUAAUUUAAUGAUAUAAAUAAGUUUGAAAUCAUGAAAUGUAAACAAUUUCGAAUAUAGAAUUCUUAUAAGCAAUUUCAAAUGUAACCCUUCAAAAAUCGCCCAAAUCUAAGGCAUUUAUCUUAAAAUGUGAUAAAAUAGCCAAACCCUCGAAAUAGAGUUCUUAUAACUCUGCCCAGUCAUUCCUCAUAUGCGACUACGGAAUACACCCCGCGAUCGUGGAAAGAAAAAAUCAGUACUCAUGGAAAUAAGCUAUGCGUUCUCCAAAAGCACCUCGCGAACGCGAUGAACACAUUACAUAACCUUCGCGAACGCAUACCAUAUUUCGCGAAUGCAAUGAGUAACAUUCCACCAGUCCUCAGCUCCCUUAUGUGAAUGCGGAACACACUACGCGAACACGAACAACAACCAGCUAAACCUUCACGAAUGCAUGCCCAUUGUCGUGUUCGCGAUGAGAAAAAUACUAUGUUUCCCAGAAUCACUUCGCUAUCGCAUCUUCAUCUUCGCUAUCACGAAGAGCAAUAGUGACACCCGAAACCAACAACUCAAAUCAUGAAGAAAUGGCCCUAGCCCAUCCGGAACACACCUGAGACCCCCGAGAUCCCGUUGAAAUAUACGAACAAGUUCCAUAACAUAACAUGGACCCACCCUAGGUAUCAAAUCACAUAAAACUAUGUCGAAACUAUGAAUCGUACUACGAAUCGAACUUAUAAAUUUUCCAAUCUUCUAACUUCCAAAACUAGCACUGAAACAUAUCAAAUCAACUCAAAAUAACGUCAAAUUUUGCAUUCAAAUUCCAAAUGGCAUAAAAGCAACUAAUCAAACUCUUGAAAUUGCAUUCCGAUCCCGAUAUCACCAAAGUCAACUCUUGAUCAAACCUCUUAACCUUUUAAAACUUCAACUUUCCAAUUUAGCAGAAAUGCUUCAAAUUAUCCUACGAACCUUUGAAUCUAAAUUCGAACGCAUGCCUAAGUCCAAAAUCAGCAUACGAAGCUAUUAAAAUCAUCAAAACACCAUUUUAGAGUCGUCUACAUAAAAUCAAACUGCAGUUAACUCUUAUUGCUUAAGAUUCUAAAACAAGAAUCCUUCUUCCAAAUUGACCUUGAAUCCUCCAAAACUAAACUCGGGCACACAUGCAAGUGAUAACACAUAAUUCAAAGCUGCUCGAUACCUUACGUUGUCGAACAAGACGAUAAUUUUUAAAACAACCGGCCAAGUCAUUACAAUUGUUGAUUUGAGGAUUGUUGGUGCAGUGCUUAGCAAUUGUGAGGUCGGGCUCAGAUUUGCAAGCAUCGUUUUUGCGAACAAUAGUUUGCAUUUGUGAGUAGUGGCCUCGGCUAGGUGGCAUUGUAUUUGUGAGGAAAUGGUUCACAAUCACAAAUUGGCUGGGACCGCUUUUGCGAUCAUCUUGGUUGCAUUUGCGACCUCUGGAACUUUGGACAACAUCGCAUUUGUGAAGCUUUGGGCGCAUUUGCAAUGGGAGCAGACAUCACAAUUGCGAAGUCAAUGUCGAAUUUGUACCUUCCGUUUUGAAUAACAGGCACUGCAAUUGCGAGUCAUUCUUUGCAAUUGUGAGGGCUCGCAAUUACAAACCCGUAAAUGCAAUUACAACACAUGCGCCUGAACAUAAGGUCUGAAAAUCGAGAUUUGAGUCUCAUGCUCUCAUUUUGGAACCCCAAACUCGGUAGGAGGCGAUUUUGAGAGGGGAUUUUUACCUACAAUUAUUGGGUAAUUGAUUUUGAUCUAUUUUCAAUUAUAUUACACGAUUAUACAUUAGAUUUAACAUCAAAUUCAUGAUAAUAUAAUAGAAAUUUUGGAGAUUUUUAUCUAUGUUUUUAAAAAAUAAAAAUUUGGAAUUUUAGAGUUGAAUUGGACUUGGAUUUUGAAAUAAAAUACAUAAAUAAACUCGUGGGGUUAUAGGUAGUCAAGAUCUACACUUGAACUCGGGUUUUGACCGGGCGGGACCGGACUUGACUUAAAAAACGGUCGUGGUUGAGUGUUAAUUUGGUUGCGGAAAGAGGUAAGUAUUGUGUAUAACCUUGACUUGAGGAAAUUAGGACCCGUUGAUCCAUUUUCUAUGUGAAUUAUGUGGAGAAACGUCGCAUAUCCGAGGUGUCGAGUUUAUAUGCACCGUUGUGGAAUUUAGCAUGAGAGAGUGGGCAAUUUAUUUCCAUAUCUUUGUCAUUCAAUGUUAUUUCUUGUUAUAUGCUUUAAUUAUUGCACUUGACAUCUAUGUUUUACUUGUUCACUUGUUACUUCAUUGUUAUUUACUUGAUUUGUUCAUUUCUCAUUCAAUAAUCUGCUUACUUGCUAUUUGUUCCUACUUGCCUUAUUUGUAUAUUCUCAUUAUCACAUGUUUUACCUACUUUUAUUGUCCUUCUAUUAAUAGAUGUACUCUAUUAUGUUAUUUUGCUUUCGUGAGUCAUUUAGCCAUUCUUGUAUAAUGAGUUGUUAAGGCUUAGAAUAUCGAUGUGUUGGAUAUCUUCCAUUCGUAUUGGUGGGUCAUAAAUGUAUUGUGUGCUCCAUCUUUUUUGGUUUUGAUAUUUCUUAAAUAUUGGUAUUGAGUUGUUUAUGUUAAUAAUUUAAUAUUGUUGGGAUCGGAUUGCGCGCUGCAACGAUAUUGAUAUGAAUUGAUAUUGUGGGAUUAGGCUGCACACCACAGCAGCGUUGAAAUGAUAUGAUAUUGUAAUGACCCGACCGAUUGUUUUGAGAGUUCUAGCCAUGUUUCCCCAUUUAUUGUUCCUUUUUGUAACUUGUCGGGUUUGUCAGUUCGGGUCCGAAGAGGUUUCGAAAUGAAUUGAGACACAUAGUCUCAAAGUUGAAAGCUUAAGUAGAGAAAGUUGACAGGAUAUUGACUUACGUGCAAAUGACUCCAAAAUGGAGUUUUGAUGGUUCUGUUAGCCCUUUGGGUGAUUUCGAACUUAGGAACAUAUCCGGAUUGUGAUUUGAAGGUCCGUAGUGAAAUUAGGCUUCAAAUGGUGAAAGUUGGAAAUUUGAAAAGCUUGACUGGGAGUAGACUUCUUGAUAUCAAGGGCAUAUUGGAAUUUUGGGAUUUGGAGUAAGUCCAAGGUGUCAUUUGUGACUUGUGUACAAAUUUUAGGGUCAAUCGGAUGUGAUUCAAUAGGUUUCGGCGUCGUUAAUAGAAAUUGGAAGUUUAAAGUUCAUUAGGCUUGAAUCAAUGUGUGAUUCAUGUUUUUGAUGUUGUUUGAGGUGAUUUUAGGGCUCGAAUAAAUUCGUAUGAUAUUUUGGGAGACGAUGGUAUGUUUGGUUGAGGUCCUUGGGGCAUCGGGUGAGUUUCAGAUAGUUAACGGAUCAAUAUUGGACUUGGCAUUUCAGUUGAAGACUACUGGUAUUUUGUUACUGGUUUCCUUUUAUGCGAUCGCAUGGGCAGGUCCGCGACCAUGUGUCACGCCUCUUUUUUACCACCCCGAAAGUAGUAUAAGGGAGUUUUUCCAAUUAAAGUGACGUGGAAACGAGAUUAUUUUAUUUAAAAUUCAGAGUUGCCACUUGGGAUAAUUUAUGGUAUCCCAAAUCACCGGUUUAAAAUCCCAAAUCGAGGAAGUUUGACUCUGUUUACGGUUCGCGAACACAGAAAUCCAGGUAAGGAAUUCUGUUAACCCGGGAGAAGGUGUUAGGCAUUCCCGGGUUCUGUAAUUUUAGCACGGUUGCUUUGAUCAUACUUGGCUGGUUAAAUUGUCUAAUUACUUAUUUUAGAAUGGAUUAAAAUGUAUGGCUCAAGUUUUAUACCACAGGGUCCUUGCAUAUGUCUAUGUCCCAUUUAAACUCCAAAUAAUCAGGUUCUUACCAUCGCAUGGCCCAAAUAUCUUAGCUAAUAGUCUGUUUUAUAAUCUAGCCCAUUAUCAAUUAAACCCAGGUCCAAACUAACUCUUCAAAUCAGUCCAUCCUAAAAGACCGAAUCUUUGAGAUAAUCACAGCUCCAUUCUUAAACAUCUUUAUUUUUUACAACUAAUACUUCAUGAAACUUUAGAGAUUUUCUCCAAAUUAUAUUAAACUAAUAAUGAAUAAUGAAAAAUUCAAGCCUUAACUAAUCAUGGAACUAACUUUCCUAUAAAACUAAACCAUUAAAUAUAACUAAAUUAUUUUAAGAAAACUAACCAGGAGCAGAAAAACUAUUGUUGCUUAUGGAUUAAAAGGGAGCAAACAUGUUCUUGCUAAACUUUGAACAAACAAAAGAUAACAAACUAAUGGACAAAAAUAAAGAAAACCUGCUCGAACAGAAAAGAAGCAGCAGCGCUGGAACCAUGCCGGCAACUCGAACGAAACCGACCUCACUCAAACUCCAUCUUGGAAAAGCGAAAAUCCGAAACAAGGAAGAUGAAACAGAACUUUUUAUGUGCUCUAUUUUGUAGUUGUCUUGCGAAUUAGUUUUAGAUGUUAGAAUAGUGACAAACUGAUUUUUGACGGAGCUUAGGACGAAAAGAAGAUGGGAGAUUUUGCUCUCUCUGUUUUCAACAUCUCUUUCUCAUGUGCCUUCUAUUUCGUCUUCUCACUCUAUGUGUGUGCGUGUGUGUGUAUGGCUGCUGGUUCGAUAUGGUAGAGGCAUAGAUGGGGUUGUUUGGUGUGAGGUGAGAGGUUUUCCUAAAGGUCCAUGGCUGUUGUAGCUGUGAUAGAUGAAGAAAAAGAAGCAGUGGCGAUGGGUGGUUGUUGCGGUGGUGUUGCGUAUAGAACUGGUGAACGUUGGUUGUUGCUGAAGGUUUAGGGAUGAAGAAACCGAGGUUCAAGCCAUUGGAAUGUGAAGGAGAGGAGGAGGGUCGUAUGGGGUGGGGUUCGAAAUUGUUCUCUGCUGCUUCUUUAGAUGCUUAUUUUGUAUAUGUUCGUCCAAAUCUAGAAGAAGAACGGCGGAUAGCUAUACGGGUAUAGGUCUUAGAGUCUAGGUAUUUUUUAGGCUAAUUUUGGUUAUAU